GUGGGUAGUUUGACUGGGGCGGUCUCCUCCUAAAGAGUAACGGAGGAGCACGAAGGUUGGCUAAUCCUGGUCGGACAUCAGGAGGUUAGUGCAAUGGCAUAAGCCAGCUUGACUGCGAGCGUGACGGCGCGAGCAGGUGCGAAAGCAGGUCAUAGUGAUCCGGUGGUUCUGAAUGGAAGGGCCAUCGCUCAACGGAUAAAAGGUACUCCGGGGAUAACAGGCUGAUACCGCCCAAGAGUUCAUAUCGACGGCGGUGUUUGGCACCUCGAUGUCGGCUCAUCACAUCCUGGGGCUGAAGUAGGUCCCAAGGGUAUGGCUGUUCGCCAUUUAAAGUGGUACGCGAGCUGGGUUUAGAACGUCGUGAGACAGUUCGGUCCCUAUCUGCCGUGGGCGCUGGAGAACUGAGGGGGGCUGCUCCUAGUACGAGAGGACCGGAGUGGACGCAUCACUGGUGUUCGGGUUGUCAUGCCAAUGGCACUGCCCGGUAGCUAAAUGCGGAAGAGAUAAGUGCUGAAAGCAUCUAAGCACGAAACUUGCCCCGAGAUGAGUUCUCCCUGACCCUUUAAGGGUCCUGAAGGAACGUUGAAGACGACGACGUUGAUAGGCCGGGUGUGUAAGCGCAGCGAUGCGUUGAGCUAACCGGUACUAAUGAACCGUGAGG
This 661-nucleotide ribosomal RNA is filed under the name Shigella sonnei. RNAcentral's name for it is "partial 23S ribosomal RNA". It matches the Rfam family "Bacterial large subunit ribosomal RNA", at positions 2261 to 2916 of the family's 2925-position model. The record is from RNAcentral. Lineage: Bacteria; Pseudomonadati; Pseudomonadota; Gammaproteobacteria; Enterobacterales; Enterobacteriaceae.